This is a non-coding RNA of Caenorhabditis brenneri, 76 nucleotides long. The record is from Rfam. NCBI's taxonomy places the organism in Eukaryota, Metazoa, Nematoda, Chromadorea, Rhabditida, Rhabditidae.
AGCACGAUGGUUGAGGCGUUGGACUCAAAUUUCAAUGGUAGACAAUACCGCGUGGGUUCGAACCCCACUCGUGCUA